UGGGGAAUAUUGGACAAUGGGCGAAAGCCUGAUCCAGCCAUGCCGCGUGUGUGAAGAAGGUCUUCGGAUUGUAAAGCACUUUAAGUUGGGAGGAAGGGCAGUAAGCGAAUACCUUGCUGUUUUGACGUUACCGACAGAAUAAGCACCGGCUGACUCUGUGCCAGCAGCCGCGGUAAUACAGAGGGUGCAAGCGUUAAUCGGAAUUACUGGGCGUAAAGCGCGCGUAGGUGGUUCGUUAAGUUGAAUGUGAAAGCCCCGGGCUCAACCUGGGAACUGCAUCCACAACUGGCGAGCUAGAGUAGGGCAGAAGGUGGUGGAAUUUCCUGUGUAGCGGUGAAAUGCGUAGAUAUAGGAAGGAACACCAGUGGCGAAGGCGACCACCUGGGCUCAUACUGACACUGAGGUGCGAAAGCGUGGGGAGCAAACAGG
RNAcentral lists this ribosomal RNA (429 nucleotides) under Pseudomonadota bacterium. Its description in RNAcentral is "Proteobacteria bacterium partial 16S ribosomal RNA". It matches the Rfam family "Bacterial small subunit ribosomal RNA", at positions 355 to 776 of the family's 1533-position model. Lineage: Bacteria; Pseudomonadati; Pseudomonadota. The record is from RNAcentral.